Molecule: long non-coding RNA, 7662 nt
Organism: Anolis carolinensis (green anole)
Lineage: Eukaryota; Metazoa; Chordata; Lepidosauria; Squamata; Anolidae
Exons: 2
Source: RefSeq, a predicted model, not a curated record
AUCAUGUGACUUAGGCUAGCCUAUCGGGAGGGAAAAGCAAGGUUCACGAGGGCGGGGUUGUGAGUGAAUGAGAUCUACGAGACAAGUCAGAAAGCGCCAAAGCUUUGAGCAGGUCUCGCGAGACUUAGCGAUAACUUGAUGUUGCCAUGACAGCCUAUCACACUCCUUCGGAAAUUACUGCAAUGAAUUCAAGGCUGUGUUUACACCUCAAGUGGACUGACACCUAAAUUUGCAAUUUAUACAAUGGCUGAGUUGUUGAGUAGAAUGAAACCAAAGGGAAAAGGAACCUCACCUGUGGUGUUGGGAACUGCUGGAAGAUAAUGCAGGACAACAGAAACAUUUUUAUAUGAAAGGAAGAAAGAAAGGAAAAUAAUGUGGGUAAGACAAUGCUAUCAUUAAAUAAAUUUGUAAUUUUUUACUGGCCAAACCCAAAGGGUACUUUCCAAGGGCUGCUUUCAAAUCCAAAGAGAAGUGACUAGUGUGUGCCAAAAGGUUCAGACUCAGGCUCAGUACUAUUCAACAUUUUUAUCAGUGACUUGGACUUUAUUCACACUAGUUAAAAUAAUAAGUUAUACCCACCUCUAUUUUGAUGCUAUUGAAAUGCAUUUAUUUUAGGCCUUUAAAUGCAAUUUUAAAAAUUCACUUCUUACUCUAAUGUUUGCAGGGUGAAAGGGUCUUUUUAGUUUCAUUUGUCCUAUCUGGAUCAGAGUUGCAUCUAUGGGGAUUGGUAGAAGAUUUGUGGGAGGCAUCAUUCACCCAUCAAUUGUCACCAUCAUGAAUAACUUUAUCCAUUAUGGAUGUAUCUAGUUUUCUCUUAAAGACAUCCAAGUUGCCAACCCUGAGUACAAUGUCCAUCCAGAUCUGUGAUUUCCAUCAACUAUGGGUCAUUAUGACUCAUAUUAAUAAGUGGCAGUGAUGUGAACAUGGACAUAAUGAAACAUGCACAUCAACAUCACUUCCAGUUAAUAAUAUAGAUUCUGGUUUUUUUUUUGUAUCCAUGCAGAGUCCUGAAACCAAGUCCCCACAGAUAUGAUGGACUCACUAUACAUUUUCACACUUUCAACCGCUAAUUCUUAUACUGCUUGCAGAUUAUAAUUAUAGUUCAAGACAUCUGGAAGCAUAUAAAUUAGGAAAAUGCCACUGUGCCAAACUGGCAUGAAUUUAAUUCAUCCUGGCGCUCUUUCCAUGCAGAGAGCCAAAAAGAAUUAUUAGUACAUCUAUGCCACACCUGGGGAUCUUUAAGAAACUUGUUAAAACAUAUAUUUAAAGACAUUUCUGAAAUAACUUGGUUGUAAAUGUGUUUUUAAGAUGCUGUUAAAACUGGUAAAUGUCAAUAUGAAACUUAAGAGGACAUACACGCACAUUCUGAAAUGCAUUUCAAAACUAGUUAUAAUGGGAUUUUUGUAUUUGACAUUUAUACUAGUAUUUCCUCUGUCUUUAGUGUUUGGGCUACAGGAGGACUAUGCAAAUAAACAAGGAUUUGAGAUUCUUUUCUGGCUCUGCAUCCCUGAAUGCUAUUCUCAGAAUGUCAUUUUGUGUUUGAGAAAACAUUCUAAAAAUUAUUAAGGCAUGAAGUAAAAUUUACCCAGAGUUCCAGCCUCUUCUGAUGGUUUAAUUUUAGUUUAGAUACAAAAAUAGGAUGUGUGUUCAGACACAGGAGCAGAAAACCAAUGUAUAGCAGAGGAAAAUGGCAUAAAAUAUCAUGUGAUUAGAAAUUUAUGGGAAAACUAUAUGGAAAUCAUGACAGAACAAACAACAGAGGCUGUUAGAAUCUGGGCAAAUACUGACAUGUAACUGUUUUGAGGAGUUUGAAUUCCUCUCCUCUUUCAUUCACUAAUCUGCAAAAACUACUGGAAUGCAUAGUCAGCAUCCAAUUCAAUUUUUGAUCCAACAAUAAUCUUUAGCCUCAUUUAUUUUCCAUUUGUAGUACAGGCAGUUUCCAGGUUACAAGCCUCCGACUUACAGACUACUUAGUUAAGAAUGAGGAUGAGAGAACAGAAAGUGAGAGAAAUCUGCCCCUUGGAAGAGAAGUUCACUCUUGCAAUGGUUAUGUUGGGGAAAAGAUGUCUCCACGGAAGCUGCAUUACCAGUCCUUGUUUCCACAACAAGACUGUUUCCACAACAUGUUUCAAAAUCCAGUUAUCACAACGACAGAAAGUGAGGUGAAGUUUUCUGAACAGGGGCACAGGCAGCAGAACAAACAACACAUGGGCGUUAACCCAUCCCUAUGUUAUCCAAGGCAUGUAUGCAUAUGCACUUAUUUAUAUAUUUGUCUGGAGUUACACUUACAAAAUGUUCUUAUUCCAACUUACAAACAAAUUCAACUUGGGAACAAACCUAUAGAACCUACCUUGUUCAUAACUUGGGGGCUGCCUGUAUAUUCUCUGCCCCUGCUCUGCCAAACUCCUAGUAUGUUGAACACCUUCCACUUUGCAAAGCCUGAUCUGUAGCCAUCUUUAUCUCAGAAUUAACUCACAGUGUUGGUUCAAGCAAUCAUUCCGUUGUCUUCACUUUUUUGCUGGCCCAAAGAGAACAUUUUCUAUCAUAUCCUUUCCUGGGUUCCUCAGGCAAACUUUCACAUGAUACAAUGGAGGAUAACAAAUCUUAUACUACUUCUGUGGGCCCAUCCAGACAGGCCCAAAACAUGGGACCUGUCUGGGUUUUUACCGAGGAGGAACAUAAUACUGGCCAGAUAAUUUUUAUAUAUUUUUUUUUACUUUUAAGGGUUAUUUUGAGAGGCUUCAGGGUGGGUGCAUUAUCGGGAUGGCACAUAGCCACACUCCCCAGGAAAGCCCAGGUUUUGAGUGGCUUGUGGGGACUUAACCCCACUCUGAAGCAGGUUUUUUAUGCCCACUUUGGCACGUGUUUAAGUCAUGUUUGGAAGCACCUGUAACUAUUAUUUGCAAUAACUGUAUGGGUGGGCAGUUCAAUACAAUUGCAAAAUAUUUCAGAAGUAGACUAUAUUAUUUUCUUAAAUUAUGUUUUCCUUACACUUCUGUAAUUUGCAAUAAAAUUAUCAAAAUUGCCUAGUGGAGUUGAGUAAUUAGAACUGCAAACCUUUAGAAUGUAUAUUAUACAGUAAGCCCUUGCUAUCUGCUGAGGACCUUUCUAAAUAGCAAAAUUUGUGGAAGCUCAAGCCCUAUCAUAUAUAAGAGCAUAGAAAAUGGUGCCUCAUUAUAUAACAUGGCAAAAUCAAAUAUAUUUUCAAGUUAUGGAUGGUUGAAUCCAUGGAUACACAAUCUGUGCAUGCAGAGGGUUGAUUGUGAAUGUUUUCCUGAUGUCUUAGAGGUCACUGUUAGUAAAGACAGGCUAGUAUUAGUAACCCAUUUAUAUGCUGGAAUUUGAGAUAUUCGUACCAAUGUCUUGUUUGAGCAAACCAUCCACUUUAGUUCUUAUUUGAAUUAUUUAAAUGGAGCUCUGAUUGGCCUUCCUUCCAUUUAUCCCUCAGUGUUAUCUUUACCACAGUACCAUGUGCUGCCUAACUAGCUACCUUGAUCCAGGGUCAUGGGUUCAUUGCUCACGUUCGUACACUUCCAUUGGUCAGCAUUGCAAUGUGUGCUAGCCUAUGCAUUGCAUUUUUAUUCCAUGACUGAUUCACUCAGCUUACAAACUGGAGUUAGCUAUAACCACAGUCAUUCUGGUACCAGGGUUUUAGUGGAUGUAAAUGUGAUCUAGGUAGGCAGGCGGUGAUACACCAAAAGGAGAUCAGCAUUAAAUAAUGUUUACAGCGGUAAUGGACUCAAGGCUCCCAUUAAAUUAAUACUCGGGAUAUGUAUAAGCAUGAAUGGCAUUCCUAAAUGGCAGAACGUCAGAUAAUUUGGAAUGACAUGAUUCAAGAGAGAGUCAGUGCCGCGUAGUGGUUUGAGUGUUGGACUACUCUGGAGGCCAGGGCUUGAAUCCCCAUUCAGCCUUGGAAACCCAUUGCAUAAUGUUGGGCAAGUUAAGAAGGUGACGGCUUUGAACAAAUCUGGGCAGGAAAAUCUCAUGAUAGCAUUGCCUUAGUGUCACCAUAUAUCAGGAAUGACUUGAAGGCACACAACCCACAUACAUGUUGCAAGACUGUCUCCUAAAAUCACAUUCUACUGUAUAUUUGGCCUUGUUUUUAUGGUCUACUUGCUAUAUUGAUGCCUAUAUGAAAAAGGGAUCUUCUGAUUUCCCCAUUGAAAUUAGGUGGAUUCCUAGUGUUCGAGCUUUAUGUAGCAGAUGAAUUAUUUAAGCAGUGGGUAUAAACAUGGCCAGUCCCUGUGCACCAGAGCUGCCACCCAUCCCUGAAACUCCUUUGGCCAAGCCCUGGCUCCCUUUUCCUUUAACUGUGGAAGAUUACUCUUCAGAGUCAUCAGCAGACCAACCAAUCCCAGUAGAUAACCAAGUUUAAACACCCAGCUUUAGAGACAUUGGCCACCAUCCUUGUUUUUUCCAGAAACCUGAACUGUGUGUGUGUGUGUGUGUGUGUGUGGUGGUGGUGGGGGGGGGGGGCACAGAGCUCUUGAAAUGUCCUUGAGACUCAGCAGAACCAGGGCCAGUCUUUGUUUCCAGAAGCCCCAGAGUGCCUUAAUGUUUUUGUGGCAAGAAUCAAGGAACCAAAGUGCUGUAUUUAGAAUCCUCAGCAUGUUCAAAAAUACAAGAACUGUUCAUAAACCCAUCUCUGAAUCCUGUCCACAAUCACAAUUUUAACUUUACUGACAACUCUCACUAUGUUGAAAUCCUCACAGCAUCAGAAAACACAACUCAUUCAAUUCAAGGUUGCCGUUUUUAAAAAUCUGGUUUAUGACAGGUAAAGCAACAGACAUCUGUACAUGAGUCUCCCCAUCUGUACAUAUAAUAUAUGUACAUCAACAUUACUUUAGUAUUAGUAGUAGUGCAGUACCACCAUUGUUCAUUGUUGGUUUUGACUGUCUUUUUAAAGCUGUAAUGGAGUUACAUAACUGGGAUAUACAGAAAUGGGCUUCCAUACUACACACAAGAACCCCAAAUGAUAGAUCAGUUAGUCUGAAACUGCAUCCCAGUUGAGCAUCUAUUGUCUGGAGUUUCAAAAUCAGAAGUUUCCAAAAUGCAAUUGUCCAGCUGAGUGACUAUGAUGGUGACACUUUAAGGUUGUGAUGGUUCAAUGUACAUAAAGUUUGUUUCAUCCAAAAAAAUUAAUAGUACUGUAUACAGUUAUCUGGAGAUCUAUAUAAAUAAUGUCGGGAUUAGACUUUGGUCCCAUCUCUAGGAUACCUCAUUAUGUACAUAUAUGCACAUGCAGAUAUUUCAUAACCACAAACUCAAAACACUUCUGAUCCCAAGCAUUUUGGGAAAAGGAUAUUCAAUCUAUAGUUUCUCUACCAAUGACUUCAAUUAUAAGAAAUUGAUAUUCAUAUAAUCAUGAGAGUUAGAAGAGGCCACAAUGGUCAGCGAGGCCUAACCAGUUGGUAGCAUAAACAGGUAGCACAAUUCUGAAUUCAUAAUCUUCUCACGCUACUCACAUGUUUGCAUUUCCAUGGCUAUUCAUACCUGUAACCACUUAUAAAGGUUUGUUACUAGGCAAUUCACUCCAUGCAUUUGAAGAAGUAGAAAUGUGAAUGAAAUCUCAUACUCCCAACUUCAUUCUCUCAGUCUUUAUGGUGCUACAAGAUCCCAUUUGAAACCGAUAUUCCAGAUGAAUGCUGUUAUCUCUUUGUUAACCCAUUGUGACAAUUUGUAAAUAAACUAGAGCUUUCAUGUAUAACUCUUCCAAUGGGCUUAUCCAGAUUAUUUUUAAAUUGUCUUUUAAAAAGUAUUUAUUGGUGGAUUUUAACAUGUAUUAAUUGUAGAUGCUCUUUUAACUGAUGUUGUUUGUUGCUGUUCCCCAUCUUGAUCCACAAAGAAAAGCAGAUGAAGAGGAGGAGGAGGUAACUGGUUGCUGUGGUCUGCUUGUGUCAUGCCAGUUCUUCCUCAUCAUGGAGAGCGUGAUCCCCAGUCUGUUGUAUGAAAGGAAACCAUAGGUACCAUUUAUUGACACUUCUGACAAUUAAUGGUCUCCUUCUGAUGAAAUGUAACUGGAAUUUUCUCCAUUUACUGAACAAGAAGGGACAUUCUGCUUGUAUGGUAACUUUCUGAAACAGUAACCAUGAGACUAAAUACAAUAGAGUCACUUAUCCAACAUAAAUGGGCCGGCAGAAUGUUAAAUAAGCGAAUAUGUUGGAUAAUAAGGAGGCAUUAAGGAAAAGCCUAUUAAACAUCAAAUUAGGUUAUGAUUUUACAAAUUAAACACCAAAACAUCAUGUUAUACAACAAAUUUGACAGAAAAAGUAGUUCAAUACGCAGUAAUGCUAUGUAGUAAUUACUGUACUUAUGAAUUUAGCCCCAAAAUAUCAUGAUGUAUCGAAAACAUUGACUACAAAAAUGUGUUGGAUAAUCCAGAACAUUGGAUAAGUGAGUGUUGGAUAAGUGAGACUCUACUGUAGAAUGAAAAUGUCUAAUCCACAUAUAUCAUUUGAGUAGCAUUCAUCCUUUGCUUAAAAUAGGACCAGAAGUAUUUUAUUGUUGCAUGCAUCUUCCUACAUAUACUUAUCUAAAUCCUGAGAUAGGCUUGUGUGCUGAGAUGCAGCAGCAGAAACUAGUCUUUUAAGUUGUCGCAUCCUAAUCCUAUUACAAAACCCCCUACAAAACAGGUCCUCCUAGUGUCUACUUAUUCCAGCAUCAGACAAAGACAUUUUAUUGCCUUUGGUCUUUUCAUCAUCUGGGCAUUUCUGCUCACAUCUUAUGCUCCGAGAAUAUUUUUGUCCCUUGAUCUAUUUCUUAGAUCUCAUGAUGCCUGUUGUCAUUUCAUUUGCUUUUAAGAAAUAGCUGGACUGAGCUGUUUUUGACUUGGUUUCUAUGGGAUGCAUCAUCACUGUAUAAUUAAUGCUGUUUGACACCCAUUUUAACUGCCAUGGGAGUUGUAGUUUUACAAAGUCUUUCACUACUCCAUCAAAGAAUGCCGAUGGCUCACCCAACUGUAACUCCCAAAAUCCCAUAUUAUUGAGCCACGGCAGUUAAAGUAAUGUCAAAUUGCAUUAGUUCUACUAUGUAGAUCAGGCAUGGUCAACUUGGGCCCUCGAGAUGUUUUGGACUUCAAUUCCCAUAAUUCCCAACAGCCGAUAUUGUGGGAGUUGAAGUCCAAAACACCUGGAAGGCCCAAGUUUGUCCAUGCCUGACGUAAAUGCAUCCAUAAUCUCAAAUCAGAUCUCAGAAAUGUUACUUUUUUCAAUCAUGUCUCCUGGAAUCCUUUAGCCAGCAUUAUCUGAAUUCUGAGCAACUGUAGUUCAAAAAAGUAACUUCCCCAAGCUCUGCCUCCCAAAGAUGAAAACAGACAAGCUUACGAUGCUCCUAUUCUUGUCUAGGGAUUACUGCUUGAGCCGACCCCUGCUUAACUCCUGCACAAGACUGUGCUCCCAUCUGUUGUGUUUCUUAGCCAGCAAUAGCUUGACCUGCUCUAGGUUAAAAGCUAAAUUGUGUUCAUUUGGACAUUUAUAGCCUGCCUUUUAAAAAUAAAUCAAACCCAAAGGAUUCCGUGUUUGCAUGUAAAUAUGUGUGUUUGCAGUUCUGGAAAGGACAAAAAAACUGCCACUAACUAACAAACAAAACCAGAAGAGUAUUGAAAGAAAAAUUAGAUGUGUUUUAGAGUGAAUGUGUGAAAAAUAAAUAAUGCAUUUUGAUAAA